RNAcentral lists this ribosomal RNA (301 nucleotides) under uncultured bacterium. RNAcentral describes it as "partial 16S ribosomal RNA". It matches the Rfam family "Bacterial small subunit ribosomal RNA", at positions 509 to 807 of the family's 1533-position model. The record is from RNAcentral.
CAGUCGCCACGGUAAUACGAAGGGGGCUAGCGUUGUUCGGAAUUACUGGGCGUAAAGGGCGCGUAGGCGGCCAUUCAAGUUAGAUGUGAAAGCCCUGGGCUCAACCUAGGAAUUGCAUUUGAUACUGUUUGGCUUGAGUUCGGGAGAGGUGAGUGGAAUUCCCAGUGUAGAGGUGAAAUUCGUAGAUAUUGGGAAGAACACCAGCGGCGAAGGCGGCUCACUGGACCGACACUGACGCUGAGGCGCGAAAGCGUGGGGAGCAGACAGGAUUAGAUACCCGCGUAGUCCCUGUCUCUUAUAC